This 300-nucleotide ribosomal RNA is filed under the name uncultured Synechococcus sp. RNAcentral's name for it is "bacterial SSU rRNA". It matches the Rfam family "Bacterial small subunit ribosomal RNA", at positions 114 to 431 of the family's 1533-position model. Lineage: Bacteria; Bacillati; Cyanobacteriota; Cyanophyceae; Synechococcales; Synechococcaceae. The record is from RNAcentral.
CGCGUGGGAAUCUGCCCUCAGGAGGGGGAUAACGGCCGGAAACGGCCGCUAAUACCCCAUAUGCCGAGAGGUGAAAUGAAUUUCGCCUGAGGAUGAGCCCGCGUCUGAUUAGCUAGUUGGUGAGGUAAGAGCUCACCAAGGCAUCGAUCAGUAGCUGGUCUGAGAGGAUGAUCAGCCACACUGGGACUGAGACACGGCCCAGACUCCUACGGGAGGCAGCAGUGGGGAAUAUUGGACAAUGGAGGCAACUCUGAUCCAGCCAUGCCGCGUGCAGGAAGACUGCCCUAUGGGUUGUAAACU